GUUGAGGACAAGUGACCGCUUCAAUUUCUAUCUAAUUGUUUACUCUGCUUUUCUCUUCGCCUGUACUCUGUUUUUUCCGCUGGUAGUAAAUAUCAUCGAAUACCUUUGUUUCUUUGUUCGAUCUCUGACCCUCCGGCCGAAUUACUGAUGCCUAUCGAUAAAAAAGCCACGGCGCCAAGCUCUCUUCCAGAAGAGGAAGCGACAUUACUCAGCAGAAAGAGCUUCUAAAAUCAAGCUCAGGAGAUAUGAUGUGUAUGCAAAUCAGUCAGCAGAUAAAAAAGAAAUGCUUUUAGCAUAAUGACGAUCAAAAAAUAUUGAGUCGACAAGCCAAGGUCUCUUGGUUGAACAUACUGAAGUAGCAUCAUCUUCUGAAGCUGCUGCUGAGUUACCUAGACAGAGAAUACUAACAAUAGGGGAAUCAUGUUGCCUUGGUGAAAAAGCCGAUAAAUCUUGCGCGGACGGCACAACAGUUUGUUCUAACAAACGGAAGAAUAUAAUUGGCUCCCUUUCUGUAUUCGAAUAUGGUUAGUAACUAUUAAAAUGCAGUUUCAAUUUUAGUUCACUUGAAAUAUUUCGUAUAUCAGUUAUAAUGAUUUGCAUAUUACGUUCCACAUCAAAUCCACUCGGUGAACGGCGUGAUCCCGAGGCAUCCGUUGUCAUAAAAAGAGGUUUGUCUUGGUACUCUUUUAACAAUAUUAGCCAUAAAUCUUUUCUCAAUACUUGUAUGAUAUCCAACAACUUAUAUACACAGGUUGUAGAUCAAAGAUAAUAGGUUGUUGGAAUUUCAAACAGUUGCCCAGUAACGCAACCAUUUUGAAAACUGUACCAAACUGUAAAUAUUGUGGAGCUAAAAGGUUUGAAUAUGAAUCAGCAGGAUUUUGUUGUA
Molecule: long non-coding RNA, 886 nt
Organism: Nicotiana attenuata
Lineage: Eukaryota; Viridiplantae; Streptophyta; Magnoliopsida; Solanales; Solanaceae
Exons: 3
Source: RefSeq, a predicted model, not a curated record